This 497-nucleotide ribosomal RNA is filed under the name uncultured bacterium. RNAcentral describes it as "partial 16S ribosomal RNA". It matches the Rfam family "Bacterial small subunit ribosomal RNA", at positions 28 to 507 of the family's 1533-position model. The record is from RNAcentral.
GAUGAACGCUGGCGGCGUGCCUAAUACAUGCAAGUCGAGCGAACGGACGAGAAGCUUGCUUCUCUGAUGUUAGCGGCGGACGGGUGAGUAACACGUGGAUAACCUACCUAUAAGACUGGGAUAACUUCGGGAAACCGGAGCUAAUACCGGAUAAUAUUUUGAACCGCAUGGUUCAAAAGUGAAAGACGGUCUUGCUGUCACUUAUAGAUGGAUCCGCGCUGCAUUAGCUAGUUGGUAAGGUAACGGCUUACCAAGGCAACGAUGCAUAGACGACCUGAGAGGGUGGUCGGCCACACUGGAACUGAGACACGGUCCAGACUCCUACGGGAGGCAGCAGUAGGGAAUCUUCCGCAAUGGGCGAAAGCCUGACGGAGCAACGCCGCGUGAGUGAUGAAGGUCUUCGGAUCGUAAAACUCUGUUAUUAGGGAAGAACAUAUGUGUAAGUAACUGUGCACAUCUUGACGGUACCUAAUCAGAAAGCCACGGCUAACUACGUG